Molecule: unclassified non-coding RNA, 148 nt
Organism: Papio anubis (olive baboon)
Lineage: Eukaryota; Metazoa; Chordata; Mammalia; Primates; Cercopithecidae
Rfam family: Metazoan signal recognition particle RNA
About the family: The signal recognition particle (SRP) is a universally conserved ribonucleoprotein. It is involved in the co-translational targeting of proteins to membranes. The eukaryotic SRP consists of a 300-nucleotide 7S RNA and six proteins: SRPs 72, 68, 54, 19, 14, and 9.
Source: Ensembl
GCCGGGUGUGGCGGCGCAUGCCUGUAGUCCCAGCUACUUGGGAGGCUGAGGCAGGAGAAUCGCUUGAACCCAGGAGGUGGAGGUUGCAGUGAGCCAAGAUCGUGCCACUGCACUCCAGCCUGAGCAACAAAGCGAGACUCUGACUCAA